UUAAUUAAAACUGAAUGUAAUUGAUGUAACGCAUCUAAUACAAAGUUUCAACAACGGAUCUCUUGGCUCUCGCAUCGAUGAAGAACGCAGCGAAAUGCGAUAAGUAAUGUGAAUUGCAGAAUUCAGUGAAUCAUCGAAUCUUUGAACGCACCUUGCGCUCCUUGGUAUUCCUUGGAGCAUGCCUGUUUGAGUAUCAUGAAAUUCUCAAAGCAAGUCUUUUGUUAAUUCAAUCGGCUCUGCUUUGGAUUUGGGGGCUUGCAGAUUCACGUCUGCUCCUCUUAAAUGUAUUAGCUGGAUCUCCAUGAACUUGGUUCCACUCGGCGUGAUAAGUAUCACUCGCUGAGGACACCCGUAAAAAGGUGGCCAAGCUCGAGGAUGAGCCGCUUCUAAUAGUCCAUUAGCUUGGACAACUUAUUUAUGAUCUGAUCUCAAAUCAGGUAGGACUACCCGCUGAACUUAGCAUAUCAU
Molecule: ribosomal RNA, 468 nt
Filed under: Ceratobasidium sp. RBSV121
Lineage: Eukaryota; Fungi; Basidiomycota; Agaricomycetes; Cantharellales; Ceratobasidiaceae
Description: eukaryotic LSU rRNA
Rfam family: 5.8S ribosomal RNA (bases 43-196)
Source: RNAcentral